ACCUCCUUGCCUCCAUCUGCAGGGAAGGUGAGUCAGGGCACCCUAGAGGGUGGCUGGAAAGAGAAGGUGAGAAGAUGUGUUGAAUCCAAUACUGCUUGACAAACCUACAACUUUACAAAUGACCUGUGUUCCACCUAGAGAGGGUGCCAGCCCUCUCAGCAGUAUGCAGUGCCUCUCUUCUGUCUACAUCCCCAGGACCACCAUGGGUGGGGAGGGCAGAGAUUGGGGAGCACCUAUAGAGGCUCUAAUGCUCUAAGGUGACAGUGAUGAGGACCUGGGUGCACCCAUGGGUGGAGAAGCUAGGCCUGUCCAGAGAAGCAAGACAAACACACACAUACACGCGCACACACACACAGGCACACAUGCGUACACAAACACAUUGUAUAUACACAUGUCAGUUCAGGGGAUAGAGGACACUGACUCUGAGCCCUGUUGACCCAAGCAGGCUCCCGUUGUGGUGGGUUGUCAACCCACAACAUCACUCUUCCUGAGUCCCCAUCGCCUCUGUGUUGUGGAGAAGUUAGAGACACACAGCAGUGUCUGUGAGUAGCUCUGCAUGAAGGACCAUUUUCUAGAUGACAGACACAUCUCAACACAGCUCACUGAUCAGACUCAGCAAUUCCAUUCUGCAUUUUUCUCAUCACCCCCCUGACCACCCAGGACAACCCCAUCAGGGCCCUGUCACCAGGCCCAGUCCAGCUCCAUGAUAACCAAGACACAGGUCCAGAGACUACCGUCCUGCAUCGUGCCUGCAUCUGAUCCCCCUUGGUGGGUAGUGACCAGCACAACAUGGAAGAAGCCAGGGCAGCAUGCAGCUCUGCAGCCCCAGAUGGCUCCUGGGCCUUGGGAAGUCAUUCUUAAAAGGGAAGCUGGUCACUUUGAGGUCCCUGAAAGGAAGGGUGAACGUGCAUCCCAAAAGCCCUGGCAGCCGGCAGCCAGCAGCCAGCAGCAUGGCAUACAUCUUCUCACCCAACCUGUGUGACAGAGGCCCCCUCCUGGGGCACAAGUCCCAUACCUAAAGCAUCCUGUCCCAGUCGGACCUCAUCCUGAGCCCUGGGAGGGGAGGGGCACCAUGGGUUCCCUGCAGCAGCCAGGAUUACCACCCAGGGGACUCGGCCUUCUGUGGCCCUGGCCAGACUUAGAAUUUGGCCCAAGACAAGCUUACUCGGAGCAACUUCUCAGUACCUGGGGCCUGUGCAUGCCAGGCAAGGACAAGCUGGCUCAAAGAGCAACCAGCUACCUCUGCAAGGGUGUGCCAGGAGCAGGUGGAGCAGUCACCAACCUCACCCACUCAAGGAAACAGGGAUGGCCAGGUUCCCACAGUCUGAAUGACCACCACCUGACAGCUGAUGG
This 1353-nucleotide long non-coding RNA is filed under the name Homo sapiens (human). RNAcentral's name for it is "HSALNT0319546". The record is from RNAcentral. Lineage: Eukaryota; Metazoa; Chordata; Mammalia; Primates; Hominidae.